RNAcentral lists this ribosomal RNA (439 nucleotides) under uncultured bacterium. RNAcentral's name for it is "partial 16S ribosomal RNA". It matches the Rfam family "Bacterial small subunit ribosomal RNA", at positions 338 to 795 of the family's 1533-position model. The record is from RNAcentral.
CCUACGGGAGGCAGCAGUGGGGGAUAUUGCACAAUGGGGGAAACCCUGAUGCAGCCACGCCGCGUGUGGGAAGAAGGUUUUCGGAUUGUAAACCACCGUUCUUGGUGGAGAUAAUGACGGUCACCACGGAGUAUGCUCCUGCUAACUACGUGCCCGCCGCCUCGGUACUACGUAGGGGGCAAGCGUUGGCCGGAUUUACUGGGUGUAAAGGGUGCGUAGGCGGUCUGGCAAGUCAGACGUGAAAACCACAGGCGCAACCUGUGGCCUGCGUUGGAAACGGUGGGGCUUGAGGGAAGUAGAGGUAGGCGGAAGUCCCGGUGUAGCGGGGAAAUGCGUAGAGAUCGGGAGGAACACCAGUGGCGAAGGCGGCCUCUGGGCUUUAACUGACGCUGAGGCACGAAAUCAUGGGUAGCAAACAGGAUUAGAUACCCCAGUAGUC